This 594-nucleotide long non-coding RNA is filed under the name Lactuca sativa (garden lettuce). RNAcentral describes it as "long non-coding RNA (LSAT_LNC005952)". The record is from RNAcentral. Lineage: Eukaryota; Viridiplantae; Streptophyta; Magnoliopsida; Asterales; Asteraceae.
CCACCUUCACAGCCAUUUCAUUCCACAUAUUUAAACCAAUUUACAUCCAAAUUCUCUCAUCUAGCAAUGACGGCUAUGCUUAUGAAGGUGUCAUGCGCAGUGGUCUUGCUGGUGGUUUACAUGGGGUUGCUGACGCCGGAGGUGGAAGCUGUGACAUGUGGUCAGGUGGUGGGCGCCGUGGCACCAUGCCUUGGCUACCUAAGGAACGGCGGAACUCCUCCACAGCCGUGCUGUACUGGAGUUAGAGGGCUUAGGAAUGCGGCUAGAACCACCAGUGACCGUAAGACCAUUUGCAAUUGCCUGAAGAGUGCUUCUUCGUCUUACCGUGGUGUUAGUGGUAAUUACGCCGCUAGUCUCCCCGGAAAAUGUGGUGUCAACUUACCCUACAAGAUCAGCCCCUCCACCGACUGCAAUAGGUACAACUUGUUGCUUCAUUUUCAUUAUCUACCCUAAUAAAUAAGAAUAAUUUUGCUACAUGUCUUUCUCUUGUUUAAUUAGGCACAUAUCAUUUUGUCCUAAUUUUGAGAUAUAUUUAUUUUUCAUUCUCAAUAUAUCAUUAAUUUAGUUUCCAUAAAUUAAACAUACCAUAAUGAC